AAGACUGAGAAAAGAAGUAAUAAAACUCCUUCAGUGAUUCUGUAGGACCUAUUGCAUGGAGGUAUAAGUUCUGAUUAGCUGAGGAUGAUUUUUGUUUGUUUUCUUGUUGAGGAUUCAAUAAUAUUUCAAGUUGGAUUCAGCUGAAGGACCCUUCAGAUUCUGUCAUGUAACUGACUACUAAGAGACUUUAACUCUUUCUCUCCCACUCUACCCCACAUCAUCUGCAGUUGAGCAUUCUUUAGGUCACCCAACUAAGUGGUUCUGGAAGCUAUAAUGAAGGUCUUCCUGAGCUGAUCCUGGGAGCAAAGGCACACCAGAUAAUGCAUAUUUGAGUAUUAGGUAUUUCAAAUUCUCUGGAUGUCAUGGUUUUGUAACUUCGCUAUUGGUAUUCCACAUCAUAACAUCAUGGACAAAAGAGAAGAACUACGUAUCCCAGAGGACCUCACGGUCAGAGAAGGAAGACACAUCACGGAAGAUACGUCAUCUGGUUGCGCGCGGUGCUUCUUCACUUUCGCUUGCUGCCGGGAGAGGAGUGGGUGUGCUUUCCAAGCCGGGCGCCUUCAUCAAGUAAGGCUUUCGGUUUCGGAAACUCUCUCACUCUCUCUCUCUCUCCCUCUCUAUCGCUCUUUCGCUCUCUCUCCCUCAUUCCAUUUGGUUUAUUAUACUUACUCCCGAUUAGAUUGUAUUGUAUCGUGUCAUCUUGCAUCUCAACAUCAUAGUUAGUAAAAUAAGUUCUCCUUC
Molecule: long non-coding RNA, 741 nt
Organism: Gallus gallus (chicken)
Lineage: Eukaryota; Metazoa; Chordata; Aves; Galliformes; Phasianidae
Source: Ensembl